GGGAAACAGAUGAAGUGUAAUUUGAUUGCUAACUGACGGGCCGAUGGCAGAUGAGUGUUGGCAGCAUGAAGAUGGGGACGCCAUGGCGCCUUCAGCUUCACUGAAGACAAGCUGGGAAAUUAUUUAUUUCAAAAGCAAUUGUUUAAAAGCGUUACAGAAAAAGACAGUUCUUUUGUGAGCAGUUAAUUGUUCAGUCUGGUGCUUUUCAUUAGGCCUGUCGAGACGGCCGAUAUCGCUGCUGCCAUGUGGCUUUCUCUGCACCGUCCCUCUCAUGGUACGUUCAUUGAACCUCACUAAAACGCAGAUCAGGAGUGACAUGGACAGAAGCCAAUCACAUGGAUGGAUUUAAUCCAACGGAUGAAGCAAGAAAUGAGAGGACUCAGGACUCAGGAAACUUCGCUCUGAAAUUUUGCAUUUAACCGUCGACGGCACCAGCAGCCGCCUCUCACUGCCUGCCAGGGAGCACACGUCUCGUACGGCCAACCAGCGAGUCCUUCUGCCGCUGUGAUCCGUGUACAGAGGGCAUCAUCUACCACACGCGUGCUCUUCGCCGUCAAGGUACUGAAGCACACGCAUACAAGAAUGCAGAAUUCGACAUUUCAAAAUCGAUUGCUGGCUUC
Gasterosteus aculeatus aculeatus (three-spined stickleback) is the source of this 620-nucleotide long non-coding RNA. The record is from Ensembl. NCBI's taxonomy places the organism in Eukaryota, Metazoa, Chordata, Actinopteri, Perciformes, Gasterosteidae.